AACGAACGCUGGCGGCGCGCCUAAUACAUGCAAGUCGAGCGAGAAGACGUAGCAAUACGUUUGUAAAGCGGCGAACGGGUGAGGAAUACAUGGGUAACCUACCCUCGAGUGGGGAAUAACUAGCCGAAAGGUUAGCUAAUACCGCGUACGCUCCUUGGACUUCGGUUCAGGGAGGAAAGCGAUACCGUGGGUAUCGCGCUCUUGGAUGGGCUCAUGUCCUAUCAGCUUGUUGGUGAGGAACGGCCCACCAAGGCUUCGACGGGUAGCUGGUCUGAGAGGACGAUCAGCCACACUGGCACUGCGACACGGGCCAGACUCCUACGGGAGGCAGCAGUAAGGAAUAUUGCGCAAUGGGCGAAAGCCUGACGCAGCGACGCCGCGUGGGGGAUGAAGGUCUUCGGAUUGUAAACCCCUUUCGGGAGGGAAGAUGGAACGAGCAAUCGUUCGGACGGUACCUCCAGAAGCAGCCACGGCUAACUUCGUGCCAGC
This 489-nucleotide ribosomal RNA is filed under the name uncultured bacterium. RNAcentral's name for it is "bacterial SSU rRNA". It matches the Rfam family "Bacterial small subunit ribosomal RNA", at positions 29 to 512 of the family's 1533-position model. The record is from RNAcentral.